GACGAACCGUGCGAACGAUGUUCGGAAUAACGGGGCUUAAAGGGUGCGUCGGCGGCUCCGCCAGUCUGGGGUGAAAUCCUUCCGCUCAACGGGAGAACUGGCGUGGAUACUGCGGACCUCGAGGAAGAUAGGGGCGUGCGGAACAGUUGGUGGAGCGGUGAAAUGCGUUGAUAUCAACUGGAACUCCGGUGGCGAAGGCGGCACGCUGGGUCUUUUCUGACGCUGAGGCACGAAAGCUAGGGGAGCAAACGGG
This 253-nucleotide ribosomal RNA is filed under the name uncultured bacterium. RNAcentral's name for it is "partial 16S ribosomal RNA". It matches the Rfam family "Bacterial small subunit ribosomal RNA", at positions 524 to 776 of the family's 1533-position model. The record is from RNAcentral.